Molecule: ribosomal RNA, 1433 nt
Filed under: Streptomyces phaeochromogenes
Lineage: Bacteria; Bacillati; Actinomycetota; Actinomycetes; Kitasatosporales; Streptomycetaceae
Description: bacterial SSU rRNA
Rfam family: Bacterial small subunit ribosomal RNA
Source: RNAcentral
AUGCAAGUCGAACGAUGAAGCCCUUCGGGGUGGAUUAGUGGCGAACGGGUGAGUAACACGUGGGCAAUCUGCCCUUCACUCUGGGACAAGCCCUGGAAACGGGGUCUAAUACCGGAUAACACUCGCCGAGGCAUCUCGGUGGGUUGAAAGCUCCGGCGGUGAAGGAUGAGCCCGCGGCCUAUCAGCUUGUUGGUGAGGUAGAAGCUCACCAAGGCGACGACGGGUAGCCGGCCUGAGAGGGCGACCGGCCACACUGGGACUGAGACACGGCCCAGACUCCUACGGGAGGCAGCAGUGGGGAAUAUUGCACAAUGGGCGAAAGCCUGAUGCAGCGACGCCGCGUGAGGGAUGACGGCCUUCGGGUUGUAAACCUCUUUCAGCAGGGAAGAAGCGAAAGUGACGGUACCUGCAGAAGAAGCGCCGGCUAACUACGUGCCAGCAGCCGCGGUAAUACGUAGGGCGCAAGCGUUGUCCGGAAUUAUUGGGCGUAAAGAGCUCGUAGGCGGUCUGUCACGUCGGAUGUGAAAGCCCGGGGCUUAACCCCGGGUCUGCAUUCGAUACGGGCAGACUAGAGUGUGGUAGGGGAGAUCGGAAUUCCUGGUGUAGCGGUGAAAUGCGCAGAUAUCAGGAGGAACACCGGUGGCGAAGGCGGAUCUCUGGGCCAUUACUGACGCUGAGGAGCGAAAGCGUGGGGAGCGAACAGGAUUAGAUACCCUGGUAGUCCACGCCGUAAACGGUGGGAACUAGGUGUUGGCGACAUUCCACGUCGUCGGUGCCGCAGCUAACGCAUUAAGUUCCCCGCCUGGGGAGUACGGCCGCAAGGCUAAAACUCAAAGGAAUUGACGGGGGCCCGCACAAGCAGCGGAGCAUGUGGCUUAAUUCGACGCAACGCGAAGAACCUUACCAAGGCUUGACAUCGCCCGGAAAGCAUCAGAGAUGGUGCCCCCCUUGUGGUCGGGUGACAGGUGGUGCAUGGCUGUCGUCAGCUCGUGUCGUGAGAUGUUGGGUUAAGUCCCGCAACGAGCGCAACCCUUGUUCUGUGUUGCCAGCAUGCCCUUCGGGGUGAUGGGGACUCACAGGAGACUGCCGGGGUCAACUCGGAGGAAGGUGGGGACGACGUCAAGUCAUCAUGCCCCUUAUGUCUUGGGCUGCACACGUGCUACAAUGGCAGGUACAAUGAGCUGCGAUGUCGCAAGGCGGAGCGAAUCUCAAAAAGCCUGUCUCAGUUCGGAUUGGGGUCUGCAACUCGACCCCAUGAAGUCGGAGUUGCUAGUAAUCGCAGAUCAGCAUUGCUGCGGUGAAUACGUUCCCGGGCCUUGUACACACCGCCCGUCACGUCACGAAAGUCGGUAACACCCGAAGCCGGUGGCCCAACCCCCUUGUGGGGAGGGAGCUGUCGAAGGUGGGACUGGCGAUUGGGACGAAGUCGUAAC